CCUACGGGGGGCAGCAGUGAGGAAUAUUGGUCAAUGGACGAGAGUCUGAACCAGCCAAGUAGCGUGAAGGAUGACUGCCCUAUGGGUUGUAAACUUCUUUUAUAAAGGAAUAAAACGAGGCACGUGUGCCUUUUUGUAUGUACUUUAUGAAUAAGGAUCGGCUAACUCCGUGCCAGCAGCCGCGGUAAUACGGAGGAUCCGAGCGUUAUCCGGAUUUAUUGGGUUUAAAGGGAGCGUAGAUGGGUUGUUAAGUCAGUUGUGAAAGUUUGCGGCUCAACCGUAAAAUUGCAAUUGAUACUGGCAGUCUUGAGUACAGUUGAGGUGAGCGGAAUUCGUGGUGUAGCGGUGAAAUGCUUAGAUAUCACGAAGAACCCCGAUUGCGAAGGCAGCUUACUAAACUGUGACUGACAUUGAUGCUCGAAAGUGUGGGUAUCAAACAGGAUUAGAUACCCGAGUAGUC
This 460-nucleotide ribosomal RNA is filed under the name uncultured bacterium. Its description in RNAcentral is "partial 16S ribosomal RNA". It matches the Rfam family "Bacterial small subunit ribosomal RNA", at positions 338 to 795 of the family's 1533-position model. The record is from RNAcentral.